GUGGGGAAUUUUGGACAAUGGGCGCAAGCCUGAUCCAGCCAUGCCGCGUGCAGGAUGAAGGCCUUCGGGUUGUAAACUGCUUUUGUACGGAACGAAAAGACUCCUUCUAAUAAAGGGGGUCCAUGACGGUACCGUAAGAAUAAGCACCGGCUAACUACGUGCCAGCAGCCGCGGUAAUGCGUAGGGUGCAAGCGUUAAUCGGAAUUACUGGGCGUAAAGCGUGCGCAGGCGGUUAUAUAAGACAGAUGGGAAAUCCCCGGGCUCAACCUGGGAACUGCAUUUGGGACUGUAUAGCUAGAGUACGGUAGAGGGGGAUGGAAUUCCGCGUGUAGCAGUGAAAUGCGUAGAUAUGCGGAGGAACACCGAUGGCGAAGGCAAUCCCCUGGACCUGUACUGACGCUCAUGCACGAAAGCGUGGGGAGCAAACAGGAUUAGAUACCCCGGUAGUCC
Molecule: ribosomal RNA, 450 nt
Filed under: uncultured bacterium
Lineage: Bacteria
Description: bacterial SSU rRNA
Rfam family: Bacterial small subunit ribosomal RNA
Source: RNAcentral